RNAcentral lists this ribosomal RNA (484 nucleotides) under uncultured bacterium. RNAcentral describes it as "partial 16S ribosomal RNA". It matches the Rfam family "Bacterial small subunit ribosomal RNA", at positions 30 to 507 of the family's 1533-position model. The record is from RNAcentral.
AUUGAACGCUGGCGGCAGGCCUAACACAUGCAAGUCGAGCGGAUGAAGGGAGCUUGCUCCUGGAUUCAGCGGCGGACGGCUGAGUAAUGCCCAGGAAUCUGCCUGGUAGUGGGGGAUAACGUCCGGAAACGGGCGCUAAUACCGCAUACGUCCUGAGGGAGAAAGUGGGGGAUCUUCGGACCUCACGCUAUCAGAUGAGCCUAGGUCGGAUUAGCUAGUUGGUGGGGUAAAGGCCUACCAAGGCGACGAUCCGUAACUGGUCUGAGAGGAUGAUCAGUCACACUGGAACUGAGACACGGUCCAGACUCCUACGGGAGGCAGCAGUGGGGAAUAUUGGACAAUGGGCGAAAGCCUGAUCCAGCCAUGCCGCGUGUGUGAAGAAGGUCUUCGGAUUGUAAAGCACUUUAAGUUGGGAGGAAGGGCAGUAAGUUAAUACCUUGCUGUUUUGACGUUACCAACAGAAUAAGCACCGGCUAACUUCGUG